UACGGGGGGGGUAAGCGUUGUUCGGAAUUACUGGGCGUAAAGAGCUCGUAGGCGGACUGUCACGUCUGCUGUGAAAAGCUGGGGCUUAACCCUGGGCUUGCAGUGGAUACGGGCAGACUAGAGGCAGGUAGGGGAGAAUGGAAUUCCCGGUGUAGCGGUGAAAUGCGCAGAUAUCGGGAGGAACACCGGUGGCGAAGGCGGUUCUCUGGGCCUGACCUGACGCUGAGGAGCGAAAGCGUGGGGAGCGAACAGG
This 253-nucleotide ribosomal RNA is filed under the name uncultured bacterium. Its description in RNAcentral is "partial 16S ribosomal RNA". It matches the Rfam family "Bacterial small subunit ribosomal RNA", at positions 524 to 776 of the family's 1533-position model. The record is from RNAcentral.